CCUACGGGUGGCAGCAGUAGGGAAUCUUCGACAAUGGGCGAAAGCCUGAUCCAGCAACGCCGCGUGGGUGAAGAAGGUCUUCGGAGUGUAAAACCCUGUUGUUAGAGAAGAAAGUGCGAGAGAGUAACUGUUCACGUUUGGACGGUAUCUAACCAGCAAGCCAAGCCUAACUACGUGACAGCAGCUGCGGCAAUAAGGAGGUGGCAAGCGUUAUCCGGAUUUAUUGGGUGUAAAGGGAGCGCAGGCGGUCGUUUAAGUCGGAUGUGAAAGCGUGCGGCUUAACCGUAGGAGUGCAUUGGAAACUGGGAGACUUGAGUGCAGGAGAGGUAAGUGGAAUUCGAGGUGUAGCGGUGAAAUGCGUAGAUAUUAGGAGGAACACCAGUGGCGAAGGCGGCUUACUGGACUGUAACUGACGUUGAGGCUCGAAAGCGUGGGGAGCAAACAGGAUUAGAUACCCUUGUAGUC
This 465-nucleotide ribosomal RNA is filed under the name uncultured bacterium. RNAcentral's name for it is "partial 16S ribosomal RNA". It matches the Rfam family "Bacterial small subunit ribosomal RNA", at positions 338 to 795 of the family's 1533-position model. The record is from RNAcentral.